This 428-nucleotide ribosomal RNA is filed under the name uncultured bacterium. Its description in RNAcentral is "partial 16S ribosomal RNA". It matches the Rfam family "Bacterial small subunit ribosomal RNA", at positions 354 to 796 of the family's 1533-position model. The record is from RNAcentral.
GUGAGGAAUAUUGGGCAAUGGGCGAAAGCCUGACCCAGCCACGCCGCGUGAGUGAUGAAGGCCUUCGGGUCGUAAAGCUCUGUCGUAUGGGACUAACAAAAUGAAGGUACCAUGCAAGAAAGGAUCGGCUAACUUCGUGCCAGCAGCCGCGGUAAGACGAGGUAUCCUAGCGUUGUUCGGAAUUAUUGGGCGUAAAGCGGGUGUAGGCGGGCCUGUCAGUCAGGUGUGAAAUCCCAGGGCUUAACCCUGGAAGUGCACUUGAUACUGCAGGUCUUGAGUGUGGUAGAGGCUAUUAGAAUUCUUGGUGUAGUGGUGAAAUACGUAGAUAUCAAGAGGAAUACCGGAGGCGAAGGCGGAUAGCUGGGCCAACACUGACGCUGAGACCCGAAAGCGUGGGGAUCAAACAGGAUUAGAAACCCUUGUAGUCC